CAGUAGCCGCGGUAAUACGUAGGGUGCAAGCGUUAAUCGGAAUUACUGGGCGUAAAGCGUGCGCAGGCGGUUUGUUAAGACAGAUGUGAAAUCCCCGGGCUUAACCUGGGAACUGCAUUUGUGACUGGCAAGCUAGAGUCUGGCAGAGGGGGGCGGAAUUCCGCGUGUAGCAGUGAAAUGCGUAGAUAUGCGGAGGAACACCGAUGGCGAAGGCAGCCCCCUGGGCCAACACUGACGCUCAUGCACGAAAGCGUGGGGAGCAAACAGGAUUAGAUACCCCCGUAGUCCAUGUCUCUUAUAC
RNAcentral lists this ribosomal RNA (301 nucleotides) under uncultured bacterium. RNAcentral's name for it is "partial 16S ribosomal RNA". It matches the Rfam family "Bacterial small subunit ribosomal RNA", at positions 509 to 807 of the family's 1533-position model. The record is from RNAcentral.